Camellia sinensis is the source of this 815-nucleotide non-coding RNA. The record is from RefSeq and is a predicted model, not a curated record. NCBI's taxonomy places the organism in Eukaryota, Viridiplantae, Streptophyta, Magnoliopsida, Ericales, Theaceae.
AUUUUUUAACCUGUUAUAUUAACCUAAUAGACCCAUGCCAAACGAGAUCUUAUUGAUCAUAUCUCACCAAAAACCAGUCGACUCUCUCUUUCUCUUUCCAUCUUUAUCCCUCUUUUCCUUUGUGCAAGAAUCAAUCAUCUCUCUCUCUCUCUCUCUCUCUUCCUCUCCAUCUUUAUCUCUUAUCACCAACCUUCUUUAUUCUCUUCUACCCUGAGUCUUUAUCUCACUCACACAUCUCAAUCCUCCAUUGUCUUCGAUUUAUGCUUUUGACUGUCUUUCUUUUCGAGUUUCAAACCCUAACCCCAAACCUUUGAAAUCAUUCAUUUAAAUCGACUUCCUAAUGGAGAAGAUGAAGAUGAAAAACAUAGAAGAUGAAGACGAAGUAGCUGUGGACGCUGAUUUUGUCUGAAAUAUUGAAAAAAAACUUGAAAUCCAAGGUUAAACUUGGGGUUUCGGGUUCUUCUUCAUCAUCAAUUUAGGGUUUCAACCUCUCUCAAUUUAGGUUUUACUUGGGUUUCUAUUUGGGAGGGUUUCAGAGAGUGGAUCAAGAUGAAGAUAGAGUUAGAUCUUGGUUGUUGCUUUGUUUACUUAAGCUUUUUAUGGAGAGAGAAGGUGAGAAUUGAGAGGAAAGUAGUGAAGUGGACUACCUCUUGCAUAGAAAAACAAAAAAAAAAGAAGGGUCAAAAAAGAGGACAAAGAGAGACAGUAUAGAUGGAGCUUGGAAGGAUUUGAAACACCACUAAAUUAUAUAUGGAUGGAGUGAAUUACAUAUAUGUACAAUUUUAUUAUUUUAUAUAUAUAUGCAAAAUUGUAUA